Molecule: ribosomal RNA, 492 nt
Filed under: uncultured bacterium
Lineage: Bacteria
Description: partial 16S ribosomal RNA
Rfam family: Bacterial small subunit ribosomal RNA
Source: RNAcentral
AGUGAACGCUGGCGGUAGGCCUAACACAUGCAAGUCGAACGGCAGCACAGUAAGAGCUUGCUCUUACGGGUGGCGAGUGGCGGACGGGUGAGGAAUACAUCGGAAUCUACUUUUUCGUGGGGGAUAACGUAGGGAAACUUACGCUAAUACCGCAUACGACCUACGGGUGAAAGCAGGGGAUCUUCGGACCUUGCGCGAUUGAAUGAGCCGAUGUCGGAUUAGCUAGUUGGCGGGGUAAAGGCCCACGAAGGCGACGAUCCGUAGCUGGUCUGAGAGGAUGAUCAGCCGCACUGGAACUGAGACACGGUCCAGACGCCUACGGGAGGCAGCAGUGGGGAAUAUUGGACAAUGGGCGCAAGCCUGAUCCAGCCAUCCCGCGUGGGUGAAGAAGGCCUUCGGGUUGUAAAGCCCUUUUGUUGGGAAAGAAAAGCAGCAGGUUAAUACCACGCUGUUCUGACGGUAACCAAAGAAUAAGCACCGGCUAACUUCGUG